Molecule: long non-coding RNA, 1239 nt
Filed under: Fragaria vesca (wild strawberry)
Lineage: Eukaryota; Viridiplantae; Streptophyta; Magnoliopsida; Rosales; Rosaceae
Description: long non-coding RNA (FVES_LNC004074)
Source: RNAcentral
CACUUCCUAAAUACUAAUUUUCACUUCCUAAUUUUACACAUAUACACUUCCUAAAUAUACACUUCAUAAAUAAAAUAUACACUUCCUAACAACACCACAACAUUGCAAUUGACCGGAAAAUCAAAGCAAACACAAAAUACAAAACAAAUAUAUACAUUUCCUAAAUACUAAAUACCAAUAUACACUUAUUAAAUAACAAUAUACACUUCCUAAAUACAAAUAUACACUUCCUAACAACACCACAACAUUGCAAUUAACCGGAAAAUAAAAGCAAACACAAAAUAAAACUAAAGCUCAAAAACGUACUCGAGGAGGAGGAGGAGAGGCCGGAGGAGGAGCAGGAGGAGGCCGGAGGCCGAGGAGGAGAAGGAGGAGGAGGCCAGUCGGAGCAGGAGGAGGAGGCCGGCCGGCCGGAGCAGGAGGAGGAGGAGGAGGAGGAGGCCGGGAGAGGGAGAGGGAGAGGAGGCGGAGACCGGGAGAGUGAGAGGGAGAGGGCGGCGACCGAACGACCGAGGGAGCGGAGGCGGAGGAGGGGAAAUUCGGAGAGGGAGAGGAAAAGGAGGCUAGGGUUUACAACCAGCCGAGCGCUGGGUUAUACCCGAACACUUUAGCCGAUGAAAUAAUUAUUUCGUCGGCUAAAGGUAAUAAUUUCUUCGGCUAACCUAACACUUUAGCCGACGAAAUAAUUAUUUCGUCGGCUAAAGAUAAUAACAUCGUCGGUUAAGAUAAAAUUCGUCGGCUAAACCUUUGAAAUUCGUCCGCUAAACCUAUGAAAUUCGUCGGCUAAACACAAAAUUCGUCGGCUAUAACCAUUUAAAUUCGUCGGCUUUAUAACUUUUUAUACAUUCGUCAAACUGUGACUACUGCUCGUGAUGAUCAAACUUUAGAACGAAAAUCCGACCGUCAGAUCUGACCAUCAUGAUAAAAUACAUGUAUGGGAAAAAAUUCAACUUGAUCCGACAAGGUUAAGGGCUCGAUCCGGACGGUCAAUCCGUUAAGUCAAACCCCUAAACGCACGGAAAAGGUCAUUGGACUGUCUAAAUUACAUAUUUUGGCCGGACCUUCAACUGAAAAUAGUUUCAAACCGAUGAGACGUAACAAGUCUUAUAAAAAUUUUAUGCAAAAUAACCACCGAAGAUAGGGCUACCCAUAGGGAGAAAGAAUGGAAAAUUGCAUUGACAGCAACUAUACGGCACCGAGACAUGACCGGAAUACCGUGAUUUUUCAACCGUAGACGUA